This is an RNA transcript of Manihot esculenta (cassava), 2488 nucleotides long. RefSeq lists it as uncharacterized. The record is from RefSeq and is a predicted model, not a curated record. NCBI's taxonomy places the organism in Eukaryota, Viridiplantae, Streptophyta, Magnoliopsida, Malpighiales, Euphorbiaceae. The transcript is spliced from 6 exons.
AAUAAAUGAUGGUGUAACGUGCAUUCAAAUGUGAACCACAUAACUCUCUCCGACUUUCGUACAAGGAUACUAAAAUCUAAGUUAAUUAAAGAAGCUGGUCCCAAUCCCAAACAAAGCAUUUGUAUAUAUAUAUAUUUUUUGUUUCGAUCCUUUCCCUUCAUCAGUAGCCCCGUACUUCCUCUUCUAUUUCACAUGCAUUUCUUAUCUACGUAAUCAUCAUCAUCAUCUUCUUCUUCUUCAACCAUUUCUUCACUCCAUUAUCUCUCUCUUCAUGGCUAGCUUGGGAUUCAUCGUUAUCGGCAUUGCUGUCUCUGUUAGAAAGACAUUUUCAAGGGUGGUGAAGAAGAAAUCAACAGAGAAUUACAAAUCGGCGCUCUACGUAACUUCAUUACUGGGUUACAAAUUUGUGGACUUUCUAUGGAUUCAUGAACCUAGACGGUUUGCUUGUGGUGACUGUGAAUGCGACUGGUGCUGCUUUCCAGUGCAUCUAUGUCACACUUUUUCUCAUCUACGCUCCCAACCAAGGAUAAAAAGCUGCUGCUCACGGCUUGGCAUUAGAGAACCCAUUUCCUUGGGUGGACCAAUAGAGUAUGAUGAGAUAAAGACUCGCAAACUUAAAGAGUUUUUGCAAGAUUUGGGAUUGUACGAGAGUCAGGAGGAGGUUGUGAGUAAAGAGAAAGUGCUUGCGAGACGAGACCAGGUGAGGUCUUGUGGAUAAACUAUCAUCCUUCGUGCAUUGCAGAAGAGAUUGGAGGAAAGAAAUAGCCAGCUUCAGCUUCCACUGCUGAUGAGACAGAUUUACAUGCAUAUUCAUCCAAGAGGACAAAUGGAUUUUUAUAACUCGGAUUUCUUAUUAAAUUUUUUUUUUCCUAAAGAUUAUUAGACAUUUAAGUGUUGAUUCAUUUGAAAAAGACAAAUGGAUUCUUGUAAUUCAUUCAAGUAAAAUAUUUGAUUUUAAGUUAUAGUACUGUGGUAUUGGAUGAAUAUAUUGCAAUUUUUAUAUUUAUACAUUGACUUUCAUUUGUCUAUUUUGAACUUCUUAACGAUUGUAUUUUAUUUAAAUUAUUUUUAUAUAUUUCUUUUUUGUAUUUUGUCUCUCUAUAUAUGUAUGCGUAUUUUUAUAAUCAUUUAUUUUAAUGGAUUGUGUAUGAUAGAUAGAUAAAUUAAAAUGUGAGUAAAUAAUAAUAAUAAUUACUUUAAUGGAGAAUAUUUAUUUUUGCCACAAAAAAAAGUGUGAAAAUUCUUUGCAUAUUUAUUUUUGCCACAAAAAAAGUGUGAAAAUUCUUUGCAACAAAUAUCGAGUAUUUAGUGGGAAAAAUAUUUAUUACAAAUAUAUUAAUUUUUUGUGGAAAAAAUAUUCCCUUUACUUUUUAAUGGAAAAAAUAUUUGCCAAAUAUUUUAGCCUUGGGAAGCAUUUUCUCACCAAAAAGUUGAAUUUUUAGUGGAAAAUAUUUUUUUUGCCACUAGAGUCGGUUUUUGUGACAAAAUCACAUUUCGUCACUAUAAUAUUUUGGGUCGGGCAAAAUUUAAUUUCUCCACUAAUACUUACUGGCGAAAUUAGCACUUUUAGUGGAAAAAUUUUCCCUGCAAAAUGUCUAUUUCUUUUUAGUGUUUGUGGUUCUUAUACUCUAAUUAAAUCUUAGAGGUGUGGACAUCGAUCUUGUUUCUAUGAAGAAAGAGGAACUUCCAUGUCUUUUUGGAACCAUAGACUCCAAGACCAAAGCUAAAAAGUUUUUGCUUUUCCUCUUCUUUCUUCUCUGAACCUCUUGCAUAUUCGAUAUUGUUGUUUCUACAGAAGUUUUCUUGUUAAAGAAGUCGUCGAUUGUUCUCUGUAUUUUAUGUAUAUUUUGAUGCCUUAUUCUUAGAGACGUAAAAGUCUCCCGCUAUUCUAUAUUUUGACUUUCUCUUGUUGGGAAUCUUUUGUUUAAAUUUCUGGACCGUGGACACAACGCUUCAAUUUGCAUCAGAUACGUAUUGAGUGUCUAGCUAGAUAUCCAACGUUUUAGUUAAAUUUGACUAGAAAUCCGAAAGUGGCCCCUUGUUUUAGUUUUCCUCCUGAAAAUGCUAUGGUUUCAUUUUGAGUUUUAUUGUAAUAUGUGGUUUGGUCUCUUUGUAAUGCUAGACUUUAGUCUUUAAUAUGUUAUGAAAUGCAAUUAUCUUUGACAAAAAGAAAAGAAAAGAUAAUAAAAAGUUAGGUCCACUCGCUAUUAUAAGAAAGUAUGCAAAUGGUUUGGUAGGGUUGUGCCCUUUAAUCGUCAACCGUACAUGGUGAUUUAGAAAAAGCACACAUAUCUCUAUUGUCUCUUCUUAUAUAUGCUCUUCUUCAAUUAUGCAUCUACCACAAUAUAUACAGUUUCUACUAAUUCUUGGCUGAUUUGAAGCUUCAUAAUUAAUACUAUUGGUCAGUUCCUUACUACUUUCACCAUUUGAUAUAUGUUUUUAUUUGAACACUCAGCUCCUUUGUGGAAUUAAUUGAUUUUUUUAUUAA